Molecule: ribosomal RNA, 111 nt
Filed under: Saprospiraceae bacterium
Lineage: Bacteria; Pseudomonadati; Bacteroidota; Saprospiria; Saprospirales; Saprospiraceae
Also listed under: 2 other names
Source: RNAcentral
AAUGGUGGCUAUAGCAAGGGGGAUCCACCUCUUACCAUUCCGAACAGAGAAGUUAAGCCCCUUCACGCCGAUGGUACUGCCGCAAGGUGGGAGAGUAGGUAGCUGCCUAUC